This 434-nucleotide ribosomal RNA is filed under the name Bifidobacterium animalis subsp. lactis. RNAcentral describes it as "bacterial SSU rRNA". It matches the Rfam family "Bacterial small subunit ribosomal RNA", at positions 366 to 800 of the family's 1533-position model. Lineage: Bacteria; Bacillati; Actinomycetota; Actinomycetes; Bifidobacteriales; Bifidobacteriaceae. The record is from RNAcentral.
UCGGAAUGGGCACAGCCUGAUGCAGCGACGCCGCGUGCGGGAUGGAGGCCUUCGGGUUGUAAACCGCUUUUGUUCAAGGGCAAGGCACGGUUUCGGCCGUGUUGAGUGGAUUGUUCGAAUAAGCACCGGCUAACUACGUGCCACCAGCCGCGGUAAUACGUAGGGUGCGAGCGUUAUCCGGAUUUAUUGGGCGUAAAGGGCUCGUAGGCGGUUCGUCGCGUCCGGUGUGAAAGUCCAUCGCCUAACGGUGGAUCUGCGCCGGGUACGGGCGGGCUGGAGUGCGGUAGGGGAGACUGGAAUUCCCGGUGUAACGGUGGAAUGUGUAAAUAUCGGGAAGAACACCAAUGGCGAAGGCAGGUCUCUGGGCCGUCACUGACGCUGAAGAGCGAAAGCGUGGGGAGCGAACAGGAUUAGAUACCCGAGUAGUCCAAAGU